This 445-nucleotide ribosomal RNA is filed under the name uncultured bacterium. RNAcentral describes it as "bacterial SSU rRNA". It matches the Rfam family "Bacterial small subunit ribosomal RNA", at positions 217 to 662 of the family's 1533-position model. The record is from RNAcentral.
GGUAUGGGAUGAGCUUGCGUCCGAUUAGCUAGUUGGCGGGGCAACGGCCCACCAAGGCGACGAUCGGUAGCCGGCCUGAGAGGGCGAUCGGCCACAUUGGGACUGAGAUACGGCCCAGACUCCUACGGGAGGCAGCAGUAGGGAAUAUUGCACAAUGGGGGAAACCCUGAUGCAGCAACGCCACGUGUGGGAAGAAGCAUUUCGGUGUGUAAACCACUGUCGUGAGGGAAUAAGGCAUUGUUUCGGCGAUGUUGAAUGUACCUCGAAAGGAAGCACCGGCAAACUUCGUGCCGGCAGCCGCGGUAAUACGAGGGGUGCAAGCGUUGUUCGGAAUCACUGGGCGUAAAGGGAGCGUAGGCGGAGAUGCAAGCAGUCUGUACAAUACCGGGGCCCAACCCCGGACCUGCAGACUGGACUGUGUCUCUUGGAUAGUUCAGGGGCAGGC